RNAcentral lists this transfer RNA (70 nucleotides) under Penaeus vannamei (Pacific white shrimp). RNAcentral's name for it is "Litopenaeus vannamei (Pacific white shrimp) tRNA". It matches the Rfam family "tRNA". Rfam says of the family: Transfer RNA (tRNA) molecules are approximately 80 nucleotides in length. Their secondary structure includes four short double-helical elements and three loops (D, anti-codon, and T loops). Lineage: Eukaryota; Metazoa; Arthropoda; Malacostraca; Decapoda; Penaeidae. The record is from Rfam by way of RNAcentral.
UCCCGUGUGGUCUAGUGGCUAGGAUACGCGGCUCUCACCCGCGAGCCCGGUUCGAUUCCCGGCACGGGAA